UACGUAGGGUGCAAGCGUUGUCCGGAAUUAUUGGGCGUAAAGAGCUCGUAGGCGGUCUGUCGCGUCUGCUGUGAAAACUCAGGGCUUAACCCUGAGCUUGCAGUGGGUACGGGCAGACUAGAGUGCGGUAGGGGAGACUGGAAUUCCUGGUGUAGCGGUGAAAUGCGCAGAUAUCAGGAGGAACACCGGUGGCGAAGGCGGGUCUCUGGGCCGUAACUGAACGCUGGAGG
RNAcentral lists this ribosomal RNA (230 nucleotides) under uncultured bacterium. RNAcentral's name for it is "partial 16S ribosomal RNA". It matches the Rfam family "Bacterial small subunit ribosomal RNA", at positions 524 to 752 of the family's 1533-position model. The record is from RNAcentral.